This 484-nucleotide ribosomal RNA is filed under the name uncultured bacterium. Its description in RNAcentral is "partial 16S ribosomal RNA". It matches the Rfam family "Bacterial small subunit ribosomal RNA", at positions 30 to 507 of the family's 1533-position model. The record is from RNAcentral.
AUUGAACGCUGGCGGCAGGCCUAACACAUGCAAGUCGAGCGGAUGAAGAGAGCUUGCUCCUGGAUUCAGCGGCGGACGGGUGAGUAAUGCCUAGGAAUCUGCCUGGUAGUGGGGGAUAACGUCCGGAAACGGGCGCUAAUACCGCAUACGUCCUGAGGGAGAAAGUGUGGGAUCUUCGGACCUCACGCUAUCAGAUGAGCCUAUGUCGGAGUAGCUAGUUGGUGGGGUAAAGGCCUACCAAGGCGACGAUCCGUAACUGGUGUGAGAGGAUGAGCAGCCACACUGGAACAUAGAGACGGUCCAGACGCCUACGGGAGGCGUCAUGGGGGAAGAUUGUACAAUGGGCGCGAGCCUGAUCCAGCCAUAACGCGGGGGUGAAGAAGGCCUUCUAGUUGUAAAGCCCUUUUAUUUGGAAAGAAAAGCAGCAGGUGAAUACCCCGCUGUUCUGACGGUACCCAAAGAAUAGGCACGGGCUAGCUUGGUG